This is a long non-coding RNA of Saccostrea echinata, 289 nucleotides long. RefSeq lists it as uncharacterized. NCBI's taxonomy places the organism in Eukaryota, Metazoa, Mollusca, Bivalvia, Ostreida, Ostreidae. The record is from RefSeq and is a predicted model, not a curated record. The transcript has 2 exons.
AAUAAGCUCAUCGGUUCAGUGAUUGAAGAUGUUGUCUCUUCAGUUGCCAGAAAUUUGCCGUGAUAAAUCGGGAAAUAUAUGGUAACGUUCGGAGUAAGGAGUGAGCAAACGUGCAGAAAUGCAGGGUAGGCUCACCAAUGUACUGACUGAACCGAAACCGAUUUGAUAAAAAGGAUGUCCUAAAACAAAAACGCAUUAUAUUAAGGAUAGCCUUGGGGAAUUUUUUCUUGCAAUACCAAAGAAGCCUUUUUUAUUUUAUAAUUAUUGCAUUAAAUAGUUUUUUUUCUUU